Molecule: ribosomal RNA, 253 nt
Filed under: uncultured bacterium
Lineage: Bacteria
Description: partial 16S ribosomal RNA
Rfam family: Bacterial small subunit ribosomal RNA
Source: RNAcentral
UACGUAGGGGGCGAGCGUUAUCCGGAAUUACUGGGUGUAAAGGGAGCGUAGACGGCGAGGUAAGCCUGAAGUGGAAGCCCGCGGCCCAACCGCGGAACUGCUUUGGGAACUGUUUUGCUGGAGUAUGGGAGGGGUAAGCGGAAUUCCUGGUGUAGCGGUGAAAUGCGUGGAUAUCAGGAGGAACACCGGUGGCGAAGGCGGCUUACUGGACCAUAACUGACGUUGAGGCUCGAAAGCGUGGGGAGCGAACAGG